Molecule: non-coding RNA, 222 nt
Organism: Pelobates cultripes (western spadefoot toad)
Lineage: Eukaryota; Metazoa; Chordata; Amphibia; Anura; Pelobatidae
Source: the annotation of a GenBank genome assembly
CUGGGUGUUAUCUUUUCCCUAUUGUAUUUUUCUAGAGUUGCUAUUUCACAUUUAUUUUUAAUUUCUUUCCCCAUUGUUUUUUCUAACAAAAAUUUACAGUCAUGUAUUUUCAUUUUGGUUAGCGAAUUAACAUUUAGAGAAUCAGAAUCUUCAUCUUGAAACAGAGCAUCUAUGUUUUUCCCACAUCUGCUUCUGUUUUCAAAUAAAGCCAUAUACAUACAG